UUCCUUUUGCUCUAUUUGACAGAUCAACUACAUCUCAUUACGAAAUAAGUUGUGAAUGUCUCGAUAAUUUCUUAAGGUCAAGGGAUUCAACACUAACUUCUAGUUGACUGCAGAUGUGUAUAACAAAGGGUGAGUAUGAUGAAUCUGGUCCCUCAGUUGUACAUAAAAAAUGCAUCUAAGAGUGGUUAGAUAACUCAAAUACUCUCUUUUCAAAUGAAUGAUAUUUCAAUCUUUUUGAGCAGUAUGAUAUUUUAGUUUCUAGCUUGGCUCGCAGUUAUUCUUUUAUUGCAAGUGAUUUGACUAGAAAGACAUGAAAACGGAGUAUCUCCGCGGCUAAUGUUUUGUUCUAUUGCUUUUCAUGUUAAGCACAGUUGGUGGUUAUUUUUCUUUUCACAAGCAGACUUUCCGAGUUAUAUGCAAUGCAGAUUUGCUUGUGUAUACUUCAAAAUUAUAUGUUCUAUGUUUUGGUAACAGAAGGGUAGAUCUACAUGUAACAGAAGGGUAGAUCUACAUUUUUAUGUUUCGUUUUCUUUGGGUUCGGAUUGGAUUUGUUUAAAGCUUUGGAGGUACUACUAAACGCCUAUGUAUUUAAUUUGAAAGCAAAGAUUCUUGUACCUUUUGGGUAAACGACAUAAAUGACACUUAUAAUGAGACUUUGUUUUUUUUUUUUGUAAUGAUCUUAAAAACUAGCCUGUUUUUUUUUUUUUUUUUAGGGAAUAUUUACCCCUGUACUAUUAGAAAUGGUUUAAAUAUGCCCUUCGUUAUACUUUGGGUGCAAAUAUACCCCUUCCGUUAUACUUUCGGUGCAAAUAUACCCCUCCCAUUAUACUUUUGGGCCAAAUAUACCCCUUGUCCGUUAAAUAUUUGCAUCCCAAUCUUAGAAAAUACACUAGAUGGUGGGAUUACUAUGAAGGACCCAAAUCAUUUUUAUCCAAUUAACACCUAAAAUAACCAUAAUCCGACUCUAAUAAAGCUUCAAAUAUGAACAAUGGAGUGACUUCAUAGUUUAUUUUUCUUCGAAUUAGUUUCGACUGCUUCAAUAGCAAUCAUAUUCACCCAAAAUACAAGAUAGACAUUUAUAAAAUUUAUGAUCCAGAAAGUAGAUAGAAUGGAUGACGAGAAUAUGUAGAAGAUUAAAUUCAUAUCAAAUUAAUUGACUAAGAAGAAGUAUAAGAAUAAUCUGAAUUAAAGUUGAAUACUGUUAUGUUAAAUAUAUAAUACAAAACACAAAUUUUAAGAGAAGUAAAUAAAUAAUGACAUCAGGUUUGCUAUAGAUGGACAUAGUAGAAAAGAUUUUUUCGUUUCCAUCUCCCUCGAGCAUCAAGUUCAGAACUAGGAAAUUGUUCAUGUUUGUCUAAGCACAACCUCACCCGCGUCACCACUGAGCACCAUAUUUGUUCUUUCAUAGCUUGGGGCAUCAUCUAAGAGAAUAUAUAAAUGUUUAAAUACAGGAUUCUGCAACUGGUUCAGUGAUUCAUGACCUUGCGAUGCAGCAAAAGAUAUACACCCAUGGCAAGGAAGAAAAUAUAUGAAUGGAGUAGUGAGAAAGCACAAGUCACAGAAUUUUAAUAUUGCCUUGGGACAAGGAUCCUAAUCAGGUAUAGGAGUUAAAAAGACAAAGAGAUGGGGACUGGAGCUUAAAACGAUCAAAAGGGAGCAAAAAAAGUGCAGCUGAAGACCUACAGUGAAAUAGCCUCAAUUACCGCGGUCACGGUCAGUCCAGAUGGUCAAUCAAAUGCGAUCGCAGAGGUUAAUUGCAGUCGCAUAGCUACGGUUGUAACUAGACUUGCGGGAUCGUGGAUUGGCAGAAAUGUUCAGCCCAAGGGCAAAAUUGUAAUUGCACGUGCUGAUCCCAAUUUGAACAAAAAGACUCAAACCUUAAUUUCAUGUAUCAUUCAUUCCAUCACAUCCCCUUUUCUCCAAUUUUCUAGGUUUUUGGCUCGAGAUUUUGCAGCCUCCAUUUUGGAGAAGAAAAUAUUGUGUAAAUUUUGGGUGAAGAAUACAUUGGAGACUUUCUAAGUUGAAGAUUUGCUCACUUUCUUUGUUGAUAUUGUGGGAGAGACAAGUUUGA
Capsicum annuum is the source of this 2071-nucleotide RNA transcript. RefSeq lists it as uncharacterized. The record is from RefSeq and is a predicted model, not a curated record. The transcript is spliced from 3 exons. NCBI's taxonomy places the organism in Eukaryota, Viridiplantae, Streptophyta, Magnoliopsida, Solanales, Solanaceae.